UCCCUUGGAACAGGGUAUCAAAGAGGGUGACAAUCCCGUGCUUGAUGCGACGACCGGUGCUAUGUGAUAUGUUCUCAACGAGUCGAGUUGUUUGGGAAUGCAGCUCUAAACGGGUGGUAAAUUCCAUCUAAGGCUAAAUAUUGGCGAGAGACCGAUAGCGAACAAGUACCGUGAGGGAAAGAUGAAAAGCACUCUGGAAGGAGAGUUAAACAGUACGUGAAAUUGUUAAAAGGGAAACGAUUGAAGUCAGUCGUGCGGGCAGUAUUCAGCCGUCUCUGGCGGUGUAUUUGCUGUCCGCGGGUCAACAUCAGUUUGAAUCGGUGGAUAAAGGUUAGAGGAAGGUGGCACCCUCGGGUGUGUUAUAGCCUCUGAUCAUAUACACUGGUCCAGACUGAGGAACGCAGCUUGCUUAACAGCCGGGGUUCGCCCACGUCCAAGCUUAGGAUGUUGACAUAAUGGCUUUAAACGACCCGUCUUGAAACACGGA
This 487-nucleotide ribosomal RNA is filed under the name Vishniacozyma sp. RNAcentral's name for it is "partial large subunit ribosomal RNA". It matches the Rfam family "Eukaryotic large subunit ribosomal RNA", at positions 186 to 665 of the family's 3401-position model. The record is from RNAcentral. Lineage: Eukaryota; Fungi; Basidiomycota; Tremellomycetes; Tremellales; Bulleribasidiaceae.